AUAAGAUGUGAAAAACAAGACCCAGAGAGGGGAAAUCAUUUGAAUCCUGUCCUGGUAUUGCUUUGUGUUCCUGGAUUUGGAGAAUUUCUGGGAACACAGGAAAAGGAAAGGCUCAGCUCCAGAAGCAGACCCAGAAUGGCAUCCUUCUCUGAGACCCAGACCCCAGCCCCUUUUCAUGGAAGACCAGCACAAAGGAGGAAGUAGGUUAGGGAAUGGUAAGGCUCCAUGUGAUGGGACUAAUGUGGAGAGGCCUGGGGCCUUUCCCUGAGGACUGGAUGGCUGGAGUUUGGGAGCCUGAGUUGACAGAGGAGGCUAAGCCCGGGCAGCUACUUUGUUCCAGAAAUCUAAGGUCCCUGGAGGGAGGCUCUGCUUUGGGAGGGGGAAGGGAGCUAACAUUGCAGAGCACCAACUGUGAACCAGGUACAAUGGCAGAGCCUUUCCAUACCUGUACUCACAACUAGCGGGUGAGGAGUCAAGGCAAAUAGGUGUCUCAUAGCUCCCCAUAUCUCGGCAGUCGACCACCUCCUCCUUUGAUUCUCUGAUGUCACUGCCAGUUCUCCUCCUAUUGCUCUGACCUGUCUUUCUCUGUGUCCUUUGCAAACUCAUUCUCAACUCCUUAGACUCAGUCAAGUCCCCCAGUUACACACUUCCAUGGUACUAUAUAUCAUUCCUUCAGAGCACUUAACACAGUUAUUUCCUAUGUAUUUGUCCAGUCAUUUGAAUAAUGAUCCUAGUUUCAUUGGAUGGAAAGUUCCACAAGGUCAGUGACCAUUUCUAUCUGUGUUCACCAAUGUGUUCCCAGUGCCCAGAAACAAUGCCUAGCAUAAAGCAGCUGUUUUGUAAAUACUUGUUCAAUGAAUGAAUAAAUGACAAAAGAACAUCUCUCUGGCCUAAACUCCCUUCUUAGCCACUCCCUCACCCUGAGCUCACCCACCCCAAUGUGUGGACCAGGGAACAAAGUACCU
Molecule: long non-coding RNA, 965 nt
Filed under: Homo sapiens (human)
Lineage: Eukaryota; Metazoa; Chordata; Mammalia; Primates; Hominidae
Description: non-protein coding lnc-CDK12-1:1
Source: RNAcentral